AGAACCAUCAAACAAAUGGACUUCUAUGGAAAUAAAUCCAUCUACUAAUAUCAACAACUUAUCAGAAUUUCAUGGUUGGUGUUGGUCGUUCAUCAUUCGUCCCUUUUGUUUGGCAGUGAUGAUAAUAACUGUUCUGGUGAUCAGCAGAUGGAAGAAAACAAAAGGAAAUAAAUCAACAGAAGAAGAAUAAAGUCAAGUCUCCGAAACUUUGACAUACAGCUCUGUGAAUAAAGCUUCUGCUCAGACUACCAUUGAUCCAGACAGCCUCUACUGAAGCAUCAGUAAAUACGUGACAUUAAAUGUUUUAUAAAUUAGAGAAUCAGUCUGGAAAUACCACCACCUAACAGUGAGCCCCUCUAGUGGAGAAAAGCCUAAAAUACAGACCCUACUCUGAAUCAUUUGUGAACUUGUCAGCCAGAGAGACGGAGAGGAACAAUGAUCACUGCUAGAAAGAGACAAACAUCUUUAUUUCUGAUACUGAUGUUUCACC
Fundulus heteroclitus (mummichog) is the source of this 490-nucleotide long non-coding RNA. RefSeq lists it as uncharacterized. The record is from RefSeq and is a predicted model, not a curated record. The transcript has 6 exons. Lineage: Eukaryota; Metazoa; Chordata; Actinopteri; Cyprinodontiformes; Fundulidae.